GAUGAAGAACGCAGCGAAAUGCGAUAAGUAAUGUGAAUUGCAGAAUUCAGUGAAUCAUCGAAUCUUUGAACGCACAUUGCGCCCCCUGGUAUUCCGGGGGGCAUGCCUGUCCGAGCGUUAUUACAACCCUCAAGCUCAGCUUGGUGUUGGGCCCCGCCGCCCCGGCGGGCCCUAAAGUCAGUGGCGGUGCCGUCCGGCUCCGAGCGUAGUAAUUCUUCUCGCUCUGGAGGUCCGUUCGUGUGCUCGCCAGCAACCCCCAAUUUUUUUCAGGUUGACCUCGGAUCAGGUAGGGAUACCCGCUGAACUUAAGCAUAUCAAUAAGCGGAGGA
RNAcentral lists this unclassified non-coding RNA (329 nucleotides) under soil metagenome. Its description in RNAcentral is "partial contains 5.8S ribosomal RNA, internal transcribed spacer 2, and large subunit ribosomal RNA". The stretch from base 1 to 120 matches the Rfam family "5.8S ribosomal RNA", at positions 35 to 154 of the family's 154-position model. The record is from RNAcentral.